CAAGUCGUGCGGGAUUCUGCAGAGUAUCGCAGAGUCUAGCGGCAAACGGGUGAGUAACGCGUAGGAAACCUCCCUCAAAAUGGGGAAUAUUUCCGAGAAAUCGGAGGCAAUACCGCAUAAGACCACAGUUUGGCAUCAAAUAGUGGUUAAAGUAGCAAUGCGUUUUGAGAUGGUCCUGCGUCCUAUCAGCUAGUUGGCGGGGUAACGGCUCGCCAAGGCUAUGACGGGUAUCCGGCCUUAAAGGGUGAACGGACACACUGGAACUGAGACACGGUCCAGACUCCUAUGGGAGGCAGCAGUGGGGAAUUUUGGACAAUGGGGGAAACCCUGAUCCAGCGACGCCGCGUGGAGGACGAAGGCCUUCGGGUUGUAAACUCCUUUUAGAGGGGAAGAAAUAAAUGACGUUACCCUCAGAAAAAGCCACGGCUAACUACGUGCCAGCAGCCGCGGUAAUACGUAGGUGGCGAGCGUUACUCGGAAUUACUAGGCGUAAAGCGUAUGUAGGCUGUCAUAUAAGUCUUUAGUAAAAUUUCCCGGCUCAACCGGGAAAAGCCUAAGGAUACUGUUCGACUUGAGUUUGGGAGAGGGAGACGGAAUUCCUGGUGUAGCGGUGAAAUGCGUAGAUAUCAGGAGGAACACCGAUGGCGAAAGCAGUCUCCUGGACCAAUACUGACGCUGAUGUACGAAAGCUAGGGUAGCAAACAGGAUUAGAUACCCUGGUAGUCCUAGCUGUAAACUAUGUUCACUAGAUGUGGGGAGUAUCGACCCUUUCCGCGUCGACGUUAACGCAUUAAGUGAACCGCCUGGGGAGUACGACCGCAAGGUUAAAACUCAAAGGAAUUGACGGGGGCCCGCACAAGCGGUGGAGUAUGUGGUUUAAUCCGACGCAACGCGAAAAACCUUACCUGGGCUUGAACUGCUGAUGGUAAAAACCGGAAACGGCAAUGACCCGCAAGGGAGUCAGCAGAGGUGUUGCAUGGCUGUCGUCAGCUCGUGUCGUGAGAUGUUGGGUUAAGUCCCGCAACGAGCGUAACCCUUAUCCCAUGUUACCUGUAGCGAUACAGGGUCUCUGAGGAAACUGCCAUUGAUAAAAUGGAGGAAGGUGAGGAUGACGUCAAGUCAUCAUGUCCUUUAUGUCCAGGGCUACACACGUACUACAAUGGCCAGUACAGAGGGUAGCAAUAUCGUAAGGUGGAGCAAAUCCCUGAAAGCUGGCCCCAGUUCGGAUUGUGGGCUGCAGUUCGUCCACAUGAAGUAGGAAUCGCUAGUAAUCGCAGAUCAGCAGGCUGCGGUGAAUACGUUCCCGGGCCUUGUACACACCGCCCGUCACACCACGAAAGUCAGUCAUAACAGAAGUCGUCGAGCUAACCGAAAGGAGGCAGGCGCCUAAGUUAUGGUUGGUGAUUGGGGUGAAGUCGUAACAAGGUAGCCGUACGAGAACGUGCGGCUGGAUCACCUCCUUUUUAAGGAGUAAACAUGCGCUUUAAGUUUACUUAAAGCGAGAUGUUAAUGGUCGAUUCUUGGAUUGUAAUAAUGUUUGAAUCGAGUUCUGCGGGGCGUUUAUUUACGUGUUAUUAAGCUAUUUUAUGUGUCGGAGGCUAUAUCUUAAAGGGCGCGUGAGUUGUAUAAACGGGCCUAUAGCUCAGCUAGUCAGAGCGCACUCCCGAUAAGGGUGAGGUCUGUGGUGCAACUCCACAUAGGCCCACCAACUGAUGCAUAGUGUCGCCAUAAGGCGACCCAACAGGCUGCAGUUGGUGAAAGAGAGGGGAUAUAGCUCAGCUGGGAGAGCGCCUGCUUUGCAAGCAGGAGGUCGUCGGUUCAAAUCCGUCUAUCUCCACCAAAGAUUAUUUCAGAUAUUAGUAUCUGUAAAUAUAUAAUAAAUUUUUAAGUAUUUUGUGUUCUGAUGCUUUUGCACUGGCGGUAAAAUGAUAAAAAAUGUUUUUUAUUCUUUCUUUUUGUCAUUCUCCGGAUAUCUUAACUGAUAAUCUUAUUAAUUGAAAUAAGCCGGUCAAGGGAAUAUAUAAAUGCAAAGUACUAAGCAAUAAGCUCAUUGAAAACUUAAUAGUUGUAAAGGUAAAUCAAGCGUCUUCAAAUUAAUUUUUGAAAAUAAGAAAUAAAAGCUGUAAAGUCAUAUUUAACGUUUUAAAAGAAUGGAUUAGAUAAUGUGACCAAGCUAAUAAGUGCAUAUGGUGGAUGCCUUGGCUAAGACUGUCGAUGAAGGACGUGGUAAGCUGCGUUAAGCGUCGGGGAGGUGCAAACAACCUUUGAUCCGGCGAUUUCCGAAUGGGGUAACCCACUGCAGAGUAAUCUACAGUAUCCGAGAGGAAGGCAACCCGGGGAAGUGAAACAUCUCAGUACCCGGAGCAAAAGAAAUCAACCGAGAUACCGAAAGUAGUGGCGAGCGAAAUCGGUAUAGCCUAAACCAUUGUGUUUACACAAAGGGGUUGCAGGACCGCGUGAGUAGAGUUACCAAUCAAAAAGCUAAUUGAACGGUUUGGAAAAUCCGACCAUAGAAGGUGAAAGUCCUGUAAGUGAAAGUUUUUUGACUCGAAGCGGUAUCCUAAGUACCGUCGGACACGUGAAAUCCGGCGGGAAUCUGGGGGGACCACCCUCCAAGGCUAAAUACAAGUCUUAGACCGAUAGUGAACUAGUACCGUGAGGGAAAGGCGAAAAGAACCGCGGGAGCGGAGUGAAAUAGAACCUGAAACCGUAUGCAUACAAGCAGUUCGAGGCUUAUGCCGGAAGCGCAAGUAACCGGAAUGGCUGAGAGCGUGCCUGUUGAAGAAUGAUCCGGCGAGUUAUUGGUAGGUGCAAGGUUAAUUAUUAUGUUUACGCAUAUUAAGCAGCCGUAGCGAAAGCAAGUCUGAAAGGGCAAAUAGUACCUAUCAUUAGACCCGAAGCCAAGUGAUCUAUGCCUGGACAGAGUGAAUCCCCUUUAAUAGGGGGAGGAGGCUCGAAGCGUCGACCGUUAAAAAGGUCUUGCAUGAGCUGGGUAUAGGGGUGAAAGGCCAAUCUAACUUGGUGAUAGCUGGUUCUCCUCGAAAUAGUUUUUGGGCUAGCCUGGAGCGUUAAACCAGAGAGGUAGAGCACUGGAUAGUUUAGUGAGUGUAACCCACUUUGCAAUGCUAACCAAACUCCGAAUUCUUUGGCGUAUUUCUCUGGAGUCAGUACGUGUGGGAUAAGCUUCACGUGCAAAAGGGAAACAACCCAGACCAUCAAUUAAGGUCCCCAAAUAUAUGCUAAGUGGUAAAGGAUGUGGAAUUUCUUAGACAGCUAGGAGGUUGGCUUAGAAGCAGCCAUCCUUUAAAGAGUGCGUAACAGCUCACUAGUCAAGUGAUUCUGCGCCGAAGACACCCGGGGCUCAAGCAUAUUACCGAAAUUAUGGAUUCUAUAGCAAGUAAGUUAUAGAGUGGUAGAGGAGCGUUCCUGCUGCGCUGAAGGCAUACCGUAAGGAGUGCUGGAGUUGCAGGAAGUGAGAAUGUCGGAAUAAGUAGCGAUAAGAGAGGUGAAAAUCCUCUCCGCCGAAAACCUAAGGUUUCCUUGAGUAAAGUUCGUCUGCUCAGGGUCAGUCGAUCCUAAGCCGAGGUCGAAAGACGUAGGCGAUGGGUACCCGGUUAAUAUUCCGGAACUAUCUUUGGUGCGUAUAAUGUGUUCGGCUACGCUUUUCAGUAGGUCAUCAUCCGAUUGGAAGUGGAUGUUGCCCCGUAAGGGGGAGGAGCUGAGGUAACUCGGGAAACUGACUGUAUGGAAAGCCAAGAAAAACCCGGACACCUGUGCCAGAGGUAAACGUACCGCAAACGGACACACGUAGGUGGGGUGAAAAUCCUAAGGCGCGCGAGAUAACUUUCGUUUAGGAACUCGGCAUAUUAGCCCCGUAACUUCGGGAUAAGGGGUGCCUGUGGCAACACAGGUCGCAGUGAAAUGGCCCUCGUGACUGUUUAACAAAAACACAGGACUCUGCUGAAAUCGCAAGAUGAUGUAUAGGGUCUGACGCCUGCCCGGUG
RNAcentral lists this ribosomal RNA (4004 nucleotides) under uncultured bacterium. RNAcentral describes it as "bacterial LSU rRNA". The stretch from base 2167 to 4004 matches the Rfam family "Bacterial large subunit ribosomal RNA", at positions 1 to 1868 of the family's 2925-position model. The record is from RNAcentral.